AGUUAAGAUAGUACGGCAUACGGUGGAUACCUUGGUGACAGACGGCGAUGAAGGACGUAGUAAGCUGCGAUAAGCCUCGUGGAGCUGCUAAACAAGCUGUGAUACGGGGAUUUCCGAAUGGGUAAACCUAACUGAGCAAAUCUCAGUUAUCUUGUAGUGAAUACAUAGCUGCAAGAGGCGAACGGAGGGAAGUGAAACAUCUCAGUACCUCCAGGAAAAGAAAUCAACAGAGAUUCCCUUAGUAGCGGCGAGCGAAAGGGGAAGAGCCUAAACCGGAGAGAUACGUUUCUCCGGGGUUGCGGGACCUCGGCGUGGUAUCCGAAUAGAUAGUGGAACGGUCUGGAAAGUCCGGCAAUACAGGGUGACAGCCCCGUACACGAAAUCUUGAAGGAACCUAGAGGUAUCCCAAGUAGCCCGGCCCACGUGAAAGGUUGGGUGAAUCCGGGAGGACCACCUUCCAAGGCUAAAUACGUUCUGUCAACCGAUAGUGUACUAGUACCGUGAGGGAAAGGUGAAAAGAACCCCAAUGAGGGGAGUGAAAUAGAACUUAAAACCGUAUGCCUAUAAGCGGUAGGAGGGCUAUAUUCCAGCUUGCUGGAAAAUGCCUGACUGCGUGCCUUUUGCAUAAUGAGCCGGCGAGUUAUCUUCAGUGGCAAGGUUAAGCCGAACGAGGUGUAGCCGAAGCGAAAGCGAGUCUGAACAGGGCGAUCUAGUCACUGGGGGUAGACCCGAAGCGAGUCGAUCUAUCCAUGGCCAGGGUGAAGCAUUGGGAAAACCUUUGUGGAGGCCCGAACCGGGGAGGGUUGAAAACCUCUCGGAUGAGCUGUGGAUCGGAGUGAAAGGCUAAUCAAGACUCGUGAUAGCUGGUUCUCCCCGAAAUAUAUUUAGGUAUAGCCUCUUGUGAUGGCGCAUGGAGGUAGAGCACUGAAUGGGCUAGGGUGCUGAAAAGCUUACCAAACCCAAUCAAACUCCGAAUACCGUGUUGCUUAGCAUGGGAGUCAGUCGGUGGGAGAUAAGUUCCAUCGGCGAAAGGGAAACACCCCAGAUCAUCAGCUAAGGCCCCUAAAUUUGGACUAAGUGUUAAAGGAUGUGAGACCGCAUAGACAGCCAGUAGGUAGGCUUAGAAGCAGCCACCCUUUAAAGAAAGCGUAACAGCUCACUGGUCGAUGCGAUCUUGCGCCGAAAAUGAAUCGGGGCUCAAGUCCAAUGCCGAAGCUAUGGGUUGUAUUUAUACAGCGGUAGGGGAGCGUUCUCAAAGGGUUGAAGGGUUACCGAAAGGAGGCCUGGACAUUUGAGAAGUGAGAAUGCCGGCAUGAGUAGCGAUAAAAGUGGUGAGAAUCCACUUCGCCGAAAACCCAAGGGUUCCUGGGCAAGGCUCGUCC
This 1382-nucleotide ribosomal RNA is filed under the name Gammaproteobacteria bacterium. Its description in RNAcentral is "partial 23S ribosomal RNA". It matches the Rfam family "Bacterial large subunit ribosomal RNA", at positions 1 to 1371 of the family's 2925-position model. The record is from RNAcentral. Lineage: Bacteria; Pseudomonadati; Pseudomonadota; Gammaproteobacteria.